AUUAUAACUAGGAAACAAGAAACCAUUGGACCAUUGGCGUUAUAGCAUGUUUAGCGUCCUGUUAUUUCUUUUGAAUUUGAGUAUAUCCUCUUAAAAAAAACUUGGAAUGAACAUCAAAUAAUUAACAAAUUAAAAAUAGCCUACUAAAUUUUUGCUAAAUUUGCUUAUACAUUCUAAACGGUUUCAAAUAAUUAGGAAACCGAUCUAACAGCGCUCGCCAGUGUCAAAAUGUUUGAAAUGGCCAAUCAAAUCAAAGAAGGCGGGGCUUGUUCAGUCAGAUACCGAGCGCGUGCAACGGUUUUAACGGCCUGGGAGUGUGAGUUUCAAGAGAAGCCAUAGCAACAAGCUUUUUUUUAUUGGAUCGGCUCAGCCAAUCAAAUUUGAGGACCAGAACUAAGCAUUUUUUUUACAAGAAAAUCCAAGAAAAAGCAGUUCCACUAAUUGAAAACACAACAGAAGACAACAGAAAAGCUCAGCGUGGCUGAGAACCAGACUGGCAGCCCACAUCAGAUUUAAACUGGAGCUCACAGCGCUUAGCCGGCAGAUUUGAGAGGUGAGUAAUGGAACAGUGGAGAGGGAAACAUCCCAGAAAAGAGUUGCCAUGACCAGCCAGCAGACCAGAGCAAUAAACAUACAGUGAGCUGACUUUCAAAUGAAGACUUUCGGUUCAGCGCUGCGGUGAAGGCCUGAUGGCUGCUGACGUGUGUGUGCGUGUGCUGUUCUGAAAGUGUGGGUUUAGCAUUUAUGCACUCCAGAAUGAGUGAAAGUUUGGUGCUCUUCUGUUUUUUCUUCUUGUUUUCACUGAUCUUGGAUCAGAUGGGUGUCUGUAUUGUGUCUAAUUUCAUCACAUUAAAAUACAGCAUUCAGCUUAAUGGGUGAAUGUCAUGAAAAUGGGUUUUUAAAGGGGUCCUUGAUUAUGAUUUCACAUUUUUAACUUCAGUUAGUGUGUAAUGUUGCUGUUUGAGCAUAAACAACAUCUGCAAAGUUACGACGCUCAAAGUUCAAUGCAAAGGGAGAUAUUUUCUUUUAUAGAAAUAGCUUUUUAAGGACUACAACAAACAGCUGGUAGGGACUACAACGAGCUUCUUCCCAGGUUGGUGACAUCACUAACCCUAGAAUUUACAUAAACCCCGCCCCCGAGAACACACAACAAAGGGGGUGAGGCCAUGUUGGGCUGCUUUAGAGAAGAGGGAGAGUUGUUGUAGUAAAGUGUUGUUACCAUGCCAUCAUUUUACGCCGGACUGCUUCACAAACGAGGGUCAAUUCAACACUGGAUUUGCACAAAAGAUUAACAUGACGGCACAUGCUAGUCGAUGAGUUGAAUCAACUCCACAGCAACUACAUAAAUUUAUCCACUAACCAUUCAGAAACGUCCAGUUUCAUUCUAAAAGUUGUAACUUCUUCCUGAGUCUCUCCAUCAGUGUCGACUCCGGUUUGAACAAUGUAAGGCUGAACAGCGUUACUGACAAUCCUCAUUUUGGCUGCGUGAGAUUCUCCAGCUUUGUUGUUGUUGAGCGACCGAAGCGCGAGCUGUUAAAACUCCGCCCUCUUCUGGAAAGGGGGCGGGAGCAGCAGCUCAUUUGCAUUUAAAGGGACACACACAAAAACGGCGUGUUUUUGCUCACACCCAAAUAGGGGCAAAUUUGACAAGCUAUAAUAAAUGAUCUGUGGGGGAUUUUGAGCUGAAACUUCAUAGAACUUCACAUUCAGGGAACAACAGAGACUUAUAUUACAUCUUGUGAAAUUGGCAUUAUAGGUCCCUUUUAAAUAAUAUAUUUUGUUGUGCAAUAUAAAUAAUAUAUAGCAUUACAAUAAUGAGAAUGUCCUGUUUUAUUUUAUAAUGUGAGCUGGACACGUUCUUGACGAGUUUUCGUGAGAUUCAGGGUUUGUGUUCAUGCUGUCUCACUGUUUCCCCAAAUGUUAAUCAUAGGCCUACUCUUAACCAUUUAUAGGAAAAUACACUGAUCUGAGAGUGGGGGAGAAUCAGACUGGGCUAAUGGCCAGAGAAACAAACUCUCAUUACACACACACACACACACACACACACAUACACAUGUUGGGUUUCCAUGUUUUAUGGAGACAUUCCAUAGACAAUGACUUUUAUACUAAACUGUAUAUUCUCUCCCCUUAACCAACCAUGACAGAAAACUUUCUGCAUUUUUACAUUUUCAAAAAACAUCACUUAGUAUAUUAUUUAUAAGCUGUUUUCCUCAUGAGAACCAAAAAAAAAAAAAAAAAAAUGUCCACAAGGUCAAAGAUUUCUGGUAUUACUAUGCCUGUGGGGACAUUUGGUCCCCAUAACAUUUGGUUUACCUGACCCACACACACACACACACACACACACUGGUGUUUAUACCAUGAGCACAUUUGUUGAGCAGUAUCAGCUCUGUUUGCACAUUUCCCACCUGGACAGCAGGUGCGUCUAUACAAAAAUGAUCAUCCUAGAUUACUCAUCUGAAUUUACUGCAGCCAGUAAAACCAUAAGAGUCAAGAGCUCCCAAAGUGUUAUUGCUCAGAGGCUUAAUGGAGAUCUUGUUACCUAUAGUGCGUUAUAAAUGAUCCACAUGACACAGGUUACCGUUAACGAUUGUAUUUAAGCACGAAGCAGAACAGAACAGCACAGCAUAUAUUGGCCUCCAUCAUUCUGCCCACGAAUGCAAGGCUCGGGGAAACCCCAAACGUGGGCCUUAAAGUAACACAUACACACACACAGACCGUUAAUAUACACCAUUACAAAGAAGUAUUGACUACUUUAGAAAUAAAUGAGUCAGUACUUGUCAUACAGUAAUUAUAAAUUAAUGUGGAGAACAGCCCAGACAAUUUAUUGAGAAUUUGCAUCUUUGACUGUAAAUAUAGACUUCUCAAUUAUCAUGUCAUUCAUGGCCAACCUACAAAUACACAGUUCAUUGUUCAUUUGACUUCCUCAUUUGUUAGCGGGAAUUGUUGUGUUGUUUAUAGUUGUGAAAUUACAUUGAGACUUUUACUGAAGUCUCCUGCUUCUCAGAAGAGUUUUCGAACUGAUCUCAACAACACUGUAAGAAAGAAAUCCAUUGAAUAACAGAAAAGGUACUGGUAAUUUUCUUCCAUAAAGUCUAUGGACAUUUCCUUGAACCCUAAAACACAACACAAUGCAAUGCGUAAUUUAAAAUAAAACAUCUGUGAAAAAUCAAUAUUUCGCAUUACAUUGUGUCCGGUUUUUACAGAUUUUUCUUAGAGUGAAUGCCUCAGACUGUUCUCAGAUUAAUAUCUGCAAUAAAAAGUGAUUUUAUAGCUCUAUUUUUAUAACUCUUGGCUCAUUUGUGUCUGUUUUUAUUUUUCCUAUAAGUAAUUUUAGGAGAAGCAUUACUGAAGGUCCUUCUAUCCUGCAGAAAUCAUGUCUUUGCAGGUUUUUCUGAUGCAGCAGUCUUUCUCUGUGCCAAACAUUUCGGAUGAUUUCACUGCAGACCUCAGAAAGCAAGAUCUGGAGGAGUUUAGAUGGAAACCCCUCAUUUACUCACGAGAGAAACUCAUGAGCAAUUACAGUAAGCCAAAGCCUUUCAUUUACUCUCACUCGCUCCAGCAUUUCUCAUUUUGCAUCUCUAUUUGUCAAAAUUUGUAGAUUAUCAUUACUUUUUUUUGGAAUAGUGGAAUAUUUUUUUUUUUUUUUUGUUACUUAUACUUUUAUUUUGAACCACAAAAUAACAUACAAUACAUUAUAAUAUUAGUUUUUAACAUGUUAGUCCAUCAUAUUCCAACAGCCUUGACAAUUAUUACAUUUUAAUUAC
Ctenopharyngodon idella (grass carp) is the source of this 3764-nucleotide long non-coding RNA. RefSeq lists it as uncharacterized. The record is from RefSeq and is a predicted model, not a curated record. The transcript has 3 exons. NCBI's taxonomy places the organism in Eukaryota, Metazoa, Chordata, Actinopteri, Cypriniformes, Xenocyprididae.